GUGAGCUGGCGGACGGCUUUCGAACGCUCACGCGUUUGAGGAAACUCCGCCCACCAUGUAGAACUGCAACGCCUGCAAAGACGUGAGGCGAGAGCCUUGGCUCCGGAGCAGAAACGGAACGUCCAUUCGGCGAGAGGACUAUGAAGCGUGUUAAGUCGUUGAGGAUGCCGGUGGAAGCGGUGAAACGGCCGACCUGCAGGGUGAAAGGGCAAAUAGGCGCCUGUGAAUUUCUGCGGGAGGCGCGGGUAGCCCGUUUAGCUGAAUGCCGUCUUUGAACAGAAGGCGGGUUACGUCCAGCACAC
This 302-nucleotide RNase P RNA is filed under the name Candidatus Bathyarchaeota archaeon. Its description in RNAcentral is "RNase P RNA component". It matches the Rfam family "Archaeal RNase P". Rfam says of the family: Ribonuclease P (RNase P) is a ubiquitous endoribonuclease, found in archaea, bacteria and eukarya as well as chloroplasts and mitochondria. Its best characterised activity is the generation of mature 5'-ends of tRNAs by cleaving the 5'-leader elements of precursor-tRNAs. Cellular RNase Ps are ribonucleoproteins. Lineage: Archaea; Thermoproteati; Candidatus Bathyarchaeota. The record is from RNAcentral.